UGCUCAAUGAUUUUUUAAAUUGCUGUAGUAUUUUGACUAUACAAAGGUAUUGAAAUAAGACUUUAAUUGAGUGCUAAAAGAAUGGAUUAACGGAAAAAUUCUUUUUUAAUUUCAAAAAUUGAAGUUAUUUUUGUCAGUGAAGAAACUACAAUAAAAAUUAAGGACAAGAAGACCCUAAGAAUUUUUAAUAAUUUUAAAAAAGUUUUUUUUAAAUUAUUUUAAUUGGGGCGAUUAACAAAAAUAAGAAACUUUAUUUUUCCAAAAAAAUGAACCAUUAAUAAUGGUCAUAUGAAAAAAAUACUCUAGGGAUAACAGCGUAAUAAUUUUAGAUAGUUCUUAUAGACAAAAUAGUUUGCGACCUCGAUGUUGGAUUAGGAUUCUUAUUUAAUGAAGAAGUUAAAAAAAGAAGUUUGUUCAACUUUUAAAGUCCUACUUGAUCUGAGUUCAGACCGGA
RNAcentral lists this ribosomal RNA (454 nucleotides) under Amblyomma variegatum (tropical bont tick). RNAcentral describes it as "partial 16S ribosomal RNA". The stretch from base 162 to 454 matches the Rfam family "Bacterial large subunit ribosomal RNA", at positions 2078 to 2620 of the family's 2925-position model. The record is from RNAcentral. Lineage: Eukaryota; Metazoa; Arthropoda; Arachnida; Ixodida; Ixodidae.